AUUUAAGAUGUAUAUAAAGUGAAUGUUAGAGUAGUAGUAGCUAAGUUCUUGAAACUCAAAAAAUUUGGCGGUAUUUUAGACCAUUCAGAGGAACCUGUAGUAUAAUUGAUAAUCCACGAUGGACCUUACUUAAAUUUGUUUUUCAGUUUGUAUACCGCCGUUAUUUGAAAAUUUUAUUAGAAAAAUAAUUUUCAGAGAUUUUUAUAUAGAAAGUAAAUCAGGUCAAGGUGCAGCUUAUAUUUAAGUAUUUAUGGGUUACAAUAAAUUUAUUUAAACGGAUUAGAGUGUGAAAUUUAUUUUAUGAAGGUGGAUUUGAAAGUAAAUUUUUAUAGAUAAAAAUUUUGAUUUUGGCUCUAAAAUAUGUACAUAUCGCCCGUCACUCUUAUUAAUAAUAUAAGAUAAGUCGUAACAUAGUAGAUGUACCGGAAGGUGUAUCUAGAAUGACAAUUUAAAGCUUAUAAAGUAAAGUAUUUCAUUUACACUGAAAAGAUUGUUGUGCAAAUCAAUAUAAAUUGAUAUUAUAUAAUUAUUAAUUUUAUUAUUUUUUAUUAAUUUUUAUUAGAAAUAACUAUAAUGUUAUUUUGUUAAAGUAUUUUAUAAAGAAAUAAUUUUUUUAAUGAUAGUUUAUUAAGUAAUUUGAAUGAAUUUUGAAAUAGUUGAAAAAUAUUUAUUGUUAAAGAAA
RNAcentral lists this ribosomal RNA (682 nucleotides) under Thinophilus sp. 2 SNK-2009. Its description in RNAcentral is "partial 12S ribosomal RNA". The stretch from base 29 to 438 matches the Rfam family "Microsporidia small subunit ribosomal RNA", at positions 752 to 1303 of the family's 1311-position model. The record is from RNAcentral. Lineage: Eukaryota; Metazoa; Arthropoda; Insecta; Diptera; Dolichopodidae.